Molecule: transfer RNA, 73 nt
Filed under: Stegodyphus mimosarum
Lineage: Eukaryota; Metazoa; Arthropoda; Arachnida; Araneae; Eresidae
Rfam family: tRNA
About the family: Transfer RNA (tRNA) molecules are approximately 80 nucleotides in length. Their secondary structure includes four short double-helical elements and three loops (D, anti-codon, and T loops).
Source: Rfam by way of RNAcentral
GCCUUCGUGGUGUAAUGGUCAGCACACUGAGCCGGUAUUUCAGAGGUCCGCGGUUCGAUUCCCGACGAAGGCG